Mesocricetus auratus (golden hamster) is the source of this 683-nucleotide long non-coding RNA. RefSeq lists it as uncharacterized. Lineage: Eukaryota; Metazoa; Chordata; Mammalia; Rodentia; Cricetidae. The record is from RefSeq and is a predicted model, not a curated record. The transcript has 3 exons.
GAUGGGAGACAGAGCUGGUAAAUGGUGAGAUAAACCCUCCUUUAGCAGAAAACCUCAGUGACUAUUCAAGAAUCGCUGCACAAUGUCUCAAUUGAGAGAGCACCUGACUCAAAGGCAUCUAAGAUUCUUUCCAAAUCCAGUUUUCUUUCCCUGCUUCCUGAUGCGGUUGAGGAUGUGACCUCUCAGCUUCCUGCUUUGGACACCAUGUCUACCACACAUUGCCACACCUCUCCACCAUGGUGGAUUCGUCCUUCUGGAACCAUCAGCCAAAAGAAACGCUCUCUUCUGCAGGUUGCUCUUGGGCAGCUCCGAUGGCGUCUUUAGCCUAUUCGAAGACUCUGGGAGUAAAUACUGGGAGUAUAAAUACCAAAGACAAUAGCAAGAAAGGUCCAGGCCCAGCCAGCAGUGGAUGAGUGUCUGUACUCCCUCACAACAGGCCUUUCCUAGGCACUUGUGGCCAGACAAGAAACUAAAAGAUGCAGUCAAGACCAAGUCAUGUCUUACAAAGAAGUGGAAGAGUUGCCUUGCUUAUCUAACAUUACAGAACAUGGCACCACCACGUUCUGUGAACUUUGUGGUUCAGAUGAUCGGACAGUCAACUAUGGGAGGUGCCUUGGGUACAACGUGUAACUCCAGUUCCAGGGAAUCUGAUGCCCUCUCCUGACCACCGUGGGCACCAGGCA